Molecule: ribosomal RNA, 207 nt
Filed under: Staphylococcus epidermidis
Lineage: Bacteria; Bacillati; Bacillota; Bacilli; Caryophanales; Staphylococcaceae
Description: partial 16S ribosomal RNA
Rfam family: Bacterial small subunit ribosomal RNA
Source: RNAcentral
UUUUAUGGAGAGUUUGAUCCUGGCUCAGGAUGAACGCUGGCGGCGUGCCUAAUACAUGCAAGUCGAGCGAAAAGACGAGAAGCUUGCUCCUCUGACGUUAGCGGCGGACGGGUGAGUAACACGUGGAUAACCUACCUAUAAGACUGGGAUAACUUCGGGAAACCGGAGCGAAUACCGGAUAAUAUAUUGAACAGCAUGGUUCAAUAG